UAUCAGGCUCAUUUGGAGAUUGUUUACAGAAUCCAGUAUUAAGUCCACAAAAAGUUAUCUGGGUCCCACAUCCCCUACGUUGAAAUGAAGAAAACAAGAACUCUGAAGAUACUUUUUAUCUGGAAGAGACCCAAGUUCACAUCUCAGUCGUCCUAACUAUCUUGAAGAGAACUUAACAAAAGAUCAACCACGGCAUAUAAUUGCUUCUUUGUUCUGUGUGGAGAAACAAUCAGAUUAUAAAUUGUGAAGGAAACAAAGACAUCUUGCUACCUGAGUUGAAAUGAAGAAUACAGAAAGAAAUUAAAAUGACUGUGGACCAAGGAAAACAGCCUUGUAGUAGAAAGGCCUGUGUGCCUUGUGGAGUGGUAAAGGAGGUAGCAGGGAUAGAAGGGGGAGCUAUAUAACUAAAUUUCUGCUUCUGCAUUUUAAGCAUAGCUCAAAAGAACUUGAUUUUGCUUCCAUCGCUUAGAGAAGAGAUACGCAAUAUAUACUAAAUGCAGUAGGCUACCACAGAUACAGACCUAAUACAAUUAAACAUGACCUAUUAUUAAAUGCUAUUGA
Long non-coding RNA from Tupaia belangeri chinensis (Chinese tree shrew), 561 nucleotides. RefSeq lists it as uncharacterized. Lineage: Eukaryota; Metazoa; Chordata; Mammalia; Scandentia; Tupaiidae. The transcript has 3 exons. The record is from RefSeq and is a predicted model, not a curated record.